This 166-nucleotide unclassified non-coding RNA is filed under the name uncultured Penicillium. RNAcentral's name for it is "sequence contains ITS2". Lineage: Eukaryota; Fungi; Ascomycota; Eurotiomycetes; Eurotiales; Aspergillaceae. The record is from RNAcentral.
CUGCCCUCAAGCACGGCUUGUGUGUUGGGCCCCCGCCCCCCGGGAGCCGGGGGGCGGGCCCGAAAGGCAGCGGCGGCACCGCGUCCGGUCCUCGAGCGUAUGGGGCUUCGUCACCCGCUCUGUAGGCCCGGCCGGCGCCCGCCGGCGACCCCCCUCAAUCUUUCCA